GGAAUCUCUUCAGGAUUACCUAUCUCUAUACCAAAAGGAUCCGGAAUAUCUGUUGCUGUUCCUCGUGUUUCGGAUCCAAGGCCAAAGUACUGUGGAAUGACAUUUUCUUGACAUAUGCCACUGUUUCUCACAAGAACAUGAUCAGCAGAGUUUUGAAGCAUCCUGUGGCUAUCAUUUUCUGUGUGUGUAACAUGUUUUCUUUGAUGAUAUCUUCCAACAGCCCAAUGAUGAAGAUAAGUUUCAUGGAGGGGUAUAGGAUUACCAUCUUCAUCAACAACUUCAGCAUUGAAACUCUUGAGUGCUACAUGACCUCUUGGAAAAUCAAUAUCAUAAUAAUAUCUAUUGAUAACUGAUCCAGGUCCUAGCUCGAAUUUCGGGGACAAAAAUACAGCUGAUUUGAUCUUAUUUUCAGUCUUCAAAAAAGAAGUUGAGAAUGAUGGUGUGCUAAAGAACAGCACAAGUAUUGCUAGUGAAAAUACAAAAUGUCCACAUACAAACCACAUGUUGAUCUGUGACAAAAAUGUUUAUUAGUAUUUCAUAAAAUUGAAUGACUUGUGAACCAAGUGAUUGACUGAGUGACACAUUAUUUUUUUAACAGACAUGACUUACCUUCUGGAUUACAAAGGCCUCUACCCUAGAAACCGGAGGGUUAACACGAAAAUUAUUUUAUUUUACUAACUAGAUAAUAGUAGUAAUACAGAAUAAAAGAGUAAUUUUGAAGAACAUAAAAAAACAACAGGAUUGCGUACCUGAAAAGAGAGAGGCUGGAAUGACGAGAAAUUUAGAGAGUAUCGUUAUGAUAUGUAUGGAAUGUGUAGAGAGGCAGCCACCGUCCUCACAUGAGAACGUUUUUCACAUCCUUUCAUUUUUCUUUAUUAUUAUGUAAACAAAAGGGAAAGUAAAGUCCUAAUUAGCUACUCUCGUUUUUUUUGUUCUUUAUUGAAUUCGAUGCAUUCACAUUUGGGACACCGCGUGGCUUCAACUCAAAUUUAUUAAUAUAAUGAUGAAACAUAAAUUAAUUUUUAACACAAAAUUCAAAAUUUUGAAGUCUGCUGCAACUGCAUUUUUCGAUGCUGAAUAACACACAUAUUCAAUCUUCAACUUCAACAUUGAGCACAAGAUGAAUUUUUUUACUACUUCCUCCCUCCGGUUCCUUUAAUAGUUUUAUUAUUUAUAAGAAAAGUCAUUAACUUUUAAGGUAUAUUUAUUGCAUAAAAGAUUUUUCUAUCCUUCAUUUAAUGUUUGUCUUUUAUUAUUAGUGGAUAUAAAAUAGUUAUCUAUAAAAACAUUAAAAAAGUUGCAACAAUCAAUAAUUAUAUUUAGUUUUUUCUCUCAAAAAAUAAUUAAAUUUAAUUUUGAUGAUGUACCAAAAAAUAAAUAAAUUAGUUUUGAUGAUUUUUUGUUUUUCUUUUUGUGUUAAGAAUCGGAGGAAGUACAACAAAUGAUUUAACAAAAGGCAAGUAACAAUACAAUUAAACUCUCCUAAAAAAAUACAAUUAAACUCAGGUUAGUUUAUCAAAAGUAUUUUAAACAUUAGUAAAUAACAAGUUAGAGAAACAAUUGUUAGCCUUAAACUUGACAACCAAUUUUAUAGGCCAACAAAUUGCUUUUCUGAUUUGAAGUGAAUUUUAUUAUUGAGUAAAUUGAUAUUUUGGUUUUUGGACUCUGCAUCUUGUUGUCUCAAAGGUCUAUGACACAUAAUUAAAUACAAAAUAAUUCUUGAAUGUGCAGUUUCGUUAACAGUUUAGUUCUUGACGUUAAAAACUUCUGUUAACUAACGAGGUGGCAUGCAUGAGGUGUUACAUGGACUAAAGUGAAAGUAAAAUGGUCCCUUUGGUUCCUGAAUCGAUAAUCAAUAUCCCAAAAUUGAAUAUCAAAUCCCUAAAUCCCGAAUUUAAUAUCUAAAUCUCGUAUAAUUUUUUCUUUUGUUCAAUUUUUUUUUUUUUUUUUUUUUGUAGUUAUUAAUUCUCUAGAUUGUAUUGAAUUUUAAUGCUUAUAACAAAUCACCACAUUUUACUCCUCCAUUCCAAAGAAUAUAAUCUUUCCCUCAUUCUACAAUGUAAGUGCACUCAAGCUGAUUAGUAUGUUUGUACGUGCAUGCUUGAUAAAUGUGUUUUACUAAAAAAUAAGAUAUGGUUGAACCUAUUUUCGAUAGUACUUCUACAUGCAUGUUUGAUAAAUAUGUUCUAAUAAAAAGUAAGAUAUGAUAAAGAACAAAUUAAGAAUGGGUAGUACCAAAAAAAAAUGAUGGCUGUUCUUCUACCAACCCUCACAUAUGCCUAAGUUUUUUGGGAUACUUUUGCAUUUACAAAGAACAGUCUUUUUUUUUGAAAUAAAAGCAGGGCCAUCACAUGGCCCUUCGAGACUGGGCUAUGCCACUGAUCCUCAAACUUUUUGGGACCCAAAAUACUUUUUUUUUUUUUUUUUUUUUUUUUUUUUUUUUUUUUUACGUGUAAGACAUUAAAAUAAGACUAUUACUUUUUCACCCUAUGUCUUUCCUCGUGCACCCUAUUUUUUUCCAAUUUUAUCCCUGAUCUGGAUUUCGUUUUCCGGAUGGUAUUGUUUGAAUUUUGCAGAUGUUUCCGGAUUUGAAAAUUUGAAAUAAUGUUUUACCAGAAGUUUUUCAAUUUUAAUCUUCAAAAUUCGUAAAAUAAAAUGCAAAUAAAAUAAAAAAUAGAAAUAAAAAGACACAAACAUAAAAACAACUCAUUUUAUUAAUAUAUGAACAAUACAUUACAAUAAUUUUCAAGCUUUUUAAGCUUAUUACAUAAGAUCCUAAAUCUAUUUCUAAUAUCCUAUGAGCCUAAUUCUAAUCUCCUAAGAGCCUAACCAUUGGUAUGUGAUGGGACAUACCAGUGGUUUGCCUAUUGGAGGAAAACCGGAGGAGGAGGGAAGAGGAGGGCGGGAAGAAGAAAACAAUGCCCCUGAGGGAGAUGGGCGGUGCUCAAACUUACGCCAAGACAGGCCAAGCUAAGAACCACACUGACCCUCAGAUGAACCGCACUUCGUAGCAGCGCGGUUCCAUCCUCAUUGACCGUUCAUACAAACCCUAAAAAAUUUCAACGAGACCCUUAUCUAUGAAAGGCCAACAAUGGAAAACCAUGGUGUUAGAAGGAAGAAGAGGAGGAGAGGGUGGGAGAGGAUGGUGUGAGAAAUGGUGGGGUUUGGAAGGCUAUUUAUAGGGAGGGGUGGGUCAAAAACGGCUGGGAGGCCAUAAAUGCAGUCAAAAAACGUGUUUUACCACGUUUUUUUUACUUGACCAACGACAAAAGCGAGAGGUGCAGACCACCGGCCAUGACUAAUGCAUUCCGGAAAGCACAUCUGUUUUUCGAAAUAUAUUUUCCGAAUUAAUGCGAUAAUGGUGGUGAACGAGGGAAAAGUUGGCACUUCCUAUAGGGCUAAGGACAUUCCGGAAUGUAAAAUCCGGAAAGGUUUAGAGCCACUAAUGUGGGUUUGGACGAUUACAACAACCACUAACACGUUUUCAUUGACUGUAUUAAUGACCUAGAACUUGUUUUAGCCUAUAAAUAGGCUUCCAUCUUCAACAAAUACCUACAUUCUUCACUUCACCUCUUUUUUUACAUUUUCUUCAAAUGUUUUUUUUAGUUUUUUAGGGGUGUCGAUGGUGUCAUGGUCAUUGUUGACCGUUCAUAGGAACCCUACAAUUGCAAUGCAUUGCAGCUUGUGUGUGGUUCAUAUAACGGUCAACAGAGACCCUUGACAUCAAAGAAAGACACAAAAAAUUACAUAACAUCUGGUCCGGAUUUCUGUUUCUGGAAAUCACUAACAAUCUGAUUCAGAUUAUACAAUCCGAACAAAGGGUAUUUUGGUCAAAAUCAUAGGGCGCGCGAGAAGGCUGUAGGGUGGGAAAAGUAAUAGUCGUAAAAUAAUGGUUAUAUACAUUGAAAGUGAAUAAUUUCCAAUUUGUUCACAAUGCUUCAGUUACAUGGUUAGUCUAUUAUGAUGUGUUCAAGUCCCAUUGAAGUGUGUAUUUUAAUAAUUUAUAAAUGACUUAUUUUUAUUUUUUGAGCCUAAAUUCAAUUUUUUUUUACAUCAAACAGGGCUCAUGAAUUUGUUAAGACGCCCUCAAUAAAAGAAAAAUUUUGGAGGAAGAUGACUCCCAAAUAUUAAUUAUUUUGUUGUCAAUUUGACCUUUUCUAAAUAACAAUUGCUAUUUUCAAAGUUGGACAAUAUGGGAAGAUCUUCUCCAAUCAUGCAUGCAAUGCAUUGUCAUUUUUAGGGUUAAUACUUGGGUGACAUUGUAGUUGUUAAUAUUGAUAAUAUUGGCGAACCAUAAUGUCACAAGUGUACAAAAAAAAAAAAAAAAUCUUGUAAAAGAGAAAGAAGAAAGUCACUUGUAACAUUGUAGUUGAUCAAUAUCAUCAAUGUCAACAAAAGUGUUACUACCCCUAAUUUUUAGAGAGCAAGCCACAUCCGUGGCCGGUCCCUAUGCUGAAUUGAAGUCCUUUUUACAUUAAUUAAGCAGAUAUAUUGGUACAACAGUUGCAUAAUGAUACAAGAAAGAGUGGAUUAAGCCAAAAUAAUUACACACUAUGCAUCACUAGAACACGGCAUUUGAAAUAUUGAUUCAAACUUCAGACUUGUCUUUAUCCUAUAGCUAGCCAAAUGCAGAAAGAUUUGUAUUAUUCAGUCACACUCAGACUUGUCUUUAUUCCUCUUUUGAUCAAAUCAUAUAUUACUUCGCUACAAUCCAUAACACUCCACUCCACAUAUAUUACAAAUAUGUGACUAAUUAUAUAAAAAUAUUUUUUUAUUUACAUUACAUCCAUAAAAAAUGAAGAACGGGUAGAAUGUCUGAAGUGUUGAUCUGGGAGUUGUUCUGCCACCAAUAGGUAGAAAAGUCCCAUUACACCAUUGUGUUCUUGGCUAUUGUUGUAGAUAGAGACUAAAGUUAAAGUUUCACCAUCAAUAAUCUUGAUAGAACCUGGUUUAGGAUAACAUGUGGACAUUCCUACAAUGUAGCCUGUCUCAUUUCCAGCUUCGUUUCCAUUUCCAUAUCUUGGUAUUGAAGAGCAUAUAACCCUCUCAUCCUGAAAACAUAAUCCAUAAAUUUUAAUAAAAUGACACUAAUGACAAUUUUGAGAUUAACCCCAAGAAAAUUCGAAAUAUGUUUAUUGAGGUUGCAAGGUCAAACUAUCACGCUACACCAAGUAUUUAAGAAUAAAAGUAAGCUGUAUGUAACUAUUGGAAAUUACCUGUCCAUAUAGGGUGGAUCCGAUUCCACCCGAAUGUUGAUGUGCAACACCAUAGAUCACAUAACCACCAGUUUGAAAUGGGAGACUUAUCCUCUUCACAUGAACACAACCAUUUCCAUCCUUAUGGUUUGUGGUGCAUGAUUCAACUUGAUACUCAACCUGAAACAAAGAAAUCCAUAUUGCUUUACUAUAUAAUACCCAACAUUGGAUUAGUGUUACAUUUCAGAGUUAAAUCGAGAUUGAGACAAACAAACUACAAAUUUGGAUUCCUUGCAAUCUCGAGACUCUACAUUCACGCAAUCGACAUAGACUGUUGGUUCAAGAUCGGACGGUCCUAGAUUUCAAUCUAGGUAUUUUGGAUUUUAAUAAAAAAAAAAAAAAUCAAAAUUUGUAUAUUUUGUGAACUGACUGAUCUUGAUCUAACAUUUAUUGUGCAUCGACUGCGUGUUUCUUGAUGAAUUUGUUUACCUUGCAAUCAUGUUCUGAGUUCAUUCCUUUUGAAUUAUCUGAUAGUUUCAAAGUAUCAGUAACAUCAAGUAUAUAUAUCUUAGCAGGCACUAUAAAAUCAUCCCAAUCAACCCAUUUAACAGUGUAUCUUAAGUAGAGGCUUCUCUUUGGACGCUCAAAACCUUCCUUCAACUUGCACUGUUUAGAGUCAUAACAACAUAAGAAACCUCCUUUAUAAUCUGACCUUAUUGACCUUCCAUAUUCAUCAACUGUAACAUUAUAAAGCUCACACUUGCACUCAGUACACCCUAACUUAUCCUCCACGCCGCGCGUAUCAAUGGCAUGAACGUUUAGCAUCCAUAUCUCCUCAUACCCUUCUGGAAUCUCUGCAGGAUUACCUAUCUCUAUACCAAAAGGAUCCGGAAUAUCAGUCGCCGUCCCUCGUGUUUCAGAUCCAAGCCCAAAGUAUUGUUUAUUUAUACUUUCCUGGCAUAUACCACUGUUCCUUACCAUAAUAUUAUCAGAAUUUUCAGGCAUCUUUUGGCCAUCAUUUCUUGUGUGUGUGACAUGUUUACUUUGAUGAUAUCUUUCAACAACCCAAUGAUGAAGAUAAGUUUCAUGGAGGGGUAUAGGAUUACCAUCUUCAUCAACUACUUCAGCAUGGAAACUCUUGAUUGCUACAUGACCUCUUGGAAAAUCAAUAUCAUAAUAAUAUUUAUUGAUAACUGAUCCAGGUCCUAGCUCGAAUUUCGGGGACAAAAAUACAGCUGAUUUUAUCUUAUUUUCAGUUUUCACAAAAGAACCUAAGCAUGGUACUGUGCCAAACAACAGCACAAGUAUUGCCAAUGAAAAAACAAAAUCUCUAGGUACACACCACAUGUUGAUCUGCCAAAAAAAUAUUAAGUAUUAGUAAUUAACUAAUUAUUGACUAAAAAUAUAUUAAACAGAAUAUUGUGAAAAAUGUAUUGUGUUCAUUAAAAAAGAUUAUUAGUACAACAAAAUUCUGCAAUUAAACGAGUAUAUAUAUAGCGAUAAAAAAAUAAUCUUGCAAAGUACUAGUCCUCCAAAGAAUUGAAUAAUUAAGCUUAAAAAAUAAACAAGGCAGACAGAGUUUUCAAAUUGCACCUAAGAGAAGAUUUUUAAAACCUUAAUUAUGACAUAAGUUAUAGCCAAACCUUAAUUAUGACAUAAACUGAUAGCCAAACAACUUUUUUUUAAUAAGAAAAAACCUAUAAUUAGCAAUAGAGGGAAAUAGAUUCUCUGAUUCAAGUUUUUCAUGCAUCCAUGCGGUCAAAACGUUAGUGACUGUCCGAUUUAGAUCUAACACCUUAAAAAAUGCAUAUUUCAAUAAUUACUCUACUAUUAUAAAACAUCGAUCGACUUGAAUUUUGAAUCAUCCAAUUUUAAUCGAACAUAUUCUAAUAUGUGAAUGCGUCUACAUGUGGACCGCAACAAAUCUAGGUCUAACAAUAAAUGAUGAUUAUAGAAAGUUGAGGCAAAAGGGUGGAGUGCUGUGCAAGUAUAUGAAGUAUUAACAAUUGAUCACACCAAAGUAAGAUUUGAGGAACAUAAAAAGCAACAGCAUGUAGAACAGAUUGCGUACCUCAAAUUUAGAGUGUGUGAGAUGGUUUGUAUCAUUCAAAUAGACUCACACGUAUUUAUAGAUAGAUGAUUGGGGUUGAAUUGAAUGAAAGUGUUUUUCUAAAGAGCCACGUCCUCAGAUUACUUUCACCCACGGGAAAGUAAAGUCCAAAUUUGCUACUCAACUUCCCUUUUCAUAUAAGAUUUUAUCUAACAAAUGCAAUAUUGUUGUUAUAUUGUAUAUGUUAAAGGAACUAAAAGUAACAAAUUUUUAGUGAAAAUCAACAAUUAUUUAUUAAAAAAUUAUAUAUUUAAUAUAAAAUCCACAAAUUUUAAUACAAAAUUUACAAUUUUAAUUUUUUUAACAUGUGUAAAUUUGCAGAUGAUAGAAUUUUUUUAUAAAAAAUAUAACAAAAAUCAUGAUUAUUAAAAAAAGUUGUUAAAGUAAUAAAUUUAUCUGAAAUUUAUGUGAUUAUUACUAUAUUAUUCUUUAUAUAUAAAUGUAUUCAAUGUUAAUUUUAUACCCAAAACAAAAUGAUGCUCCGCAUCAAUAAAGAAUAUAUUUUAAAAAAGAGUAAUAAAUAUAUUUAUAGAUGAUUUUAUAUAUGAACAAUUUUUUGUAAAUAGUUUUGUAGCUAGGAACUGAUAAACUAUUUGAAUUCAUUAUUCAGUCAUUUUACUUUUCCUUUAUUAUUACCAGUAUUCAUUAUUUAUUUCACUCUUGGAUUUUUUUUUGGUUGCUAAUAUCACUCUUGGAUUCAUUAUUCAUUUUUUUUAAAGGUGGACUCAUUAUUCAUUUUUUUGGUCGUAUCACUCAUUAAUACAGUAGAAAACUACAAAGCAUGAGUCGGCAAUUCAACACACUUAGGCAAUUGGAACACUCAAUCGGACAUCAAUUGAUCCAAAUUUCGUUCAUAAAUAAGAUCGAAUUGGUAAGUUAGAUUAAGUCUCUUAAUUUGUAUGGGUGUUAAUUUUGUCCUUAGUUAUUGACGCAUAACGAAAAUAAGGGUUAGCAAAUGCUAAACCUAAAAGAUAAAUAGAUAGGCUGCAAACGACAAACCUAUCAAAUAAGGGUUUACAGAAUCCACUAGAAUUGAGAAAAGUCUCGAUAAUUUUUAUUGAAUGAAAAAAGUGUCUCUUAGGUUGCAUAAGUUAUGUUUAAAUAUUAGAGGAAAUAACAAACCUGUAUGAGCCGAAAAAUAACAUACUGAAAUAAAAUAGAAAAAUCUAGAAUAUGCCGAAAUAUUAAAAUGAGGUUUUGGGCCUUCAGACAACCUCGAAUGACUAAAUUCACCCCUACGUCAUGACCAAGCAUUGGUUUUGUUUGUGAGGUCCCGGACUUUCCGAAAAGGUAUAGUUCGGGUCAUUCUGACACCGGAUGCAAAAUCUACACCAUUCUAAGUAAACCUUUCUUAUCACUACUAAAAAAAGCAAAAAUUUGUGAGGGAAAUUUAGAGAGGGAAAACGCAAAAUCCCUCUCUAAUUCUGUCACUAAAUUUUGCGACCAAGGAAUUUGUAAGGAAUUUUAUUUUUUCCGUCACUAAUCUCCCUCCCUAAUUUUACAUUUUCUAGUGGUGUUACGCGCCACUUCAUCUUCGAUGUGCGCCACCAGUUUGUCUAGAUCAAUUAUAAAAUCAUUAAAAAAAAUUGGUUUUAAAUAUAACAUCAUCUACAAAUUUCUACACAAAGGUAAGAAGGGAUUGAUUAUAUUUUAUAAAACCUUAAUUUUAUAUUUAAAUUUGUAUUAUAUAUAUAUAUAUAUUUUUUUAUAAUAAUUGUAUUUCUUUAUAUUUGUGAAAAAAAUUAAAACGACGUUUAUUUUGAAACGGAGUUGGAAACAUGAUUCAAAAUAGCAACCAUAAUACUUCCUCCGUUUAUAAAUAUAAGCAAAAUUGUUUUUUUAAGUUCAUUCAUUUAAUGAUGCAUAUGAUCCAUAAUAAGAACCACAUACAUUAUUAAAUGAAUGAAUCUAAAAAGUCAAUUUUGCUUAUAUUUAAAAACGGAGAGAGUAUUGAUUUGUUUCUUUUCUAUUAAAAAUUAAUUUCAAAACAAUCAUGAAACUAGCAUUGGGUUAUCAAGCUACCACUUUUUCUGUUGGAGUGUGGUGGUCUUGGCAGCAUCGAAAUUUUAUGUGUUUGAGUGGUGAAACUUGGUCAUGACUGCGUUUUACUUGCAACAUUAAGAAUUCGAUUGAGAGCAUUGUAUUCAAUUUUUCCCCUUCUGUUUCUAUUGAUAUGGCUAACAGGUACAUCAGAUGGAAUAAUAAUAAUAUUUCGGGUGCUAUUCUUAAUGUGGAUGGUAGUUAGCAUGACACUCCUAUUAGAACUUGAUUUGGUGGAGUCUUGCGCAAUGACUCAGGUAUAUUCAUUGCGGGUUUCUCUGGUUUCAUUCCAGGAUCAUUUGACAUCUUGUUGACUGAGCUUUCUAUUAUCUAUCACAAUCUGAUCAUGGAGAAGGAUUUGGGUUAUACAAAGCUUGUUUGCUACUCUGAUUAUCUUGUUUGCGUUAAUCUUAUAAAUGGCCCCAUUGAGUGUUAUCACAUCUAUGUUGUUCUCAUCAAAGACAUAAAGCAAUUGCUUCACCAUACCAGCGUAACGGUUUCUCACACUCUUAGAGAGAAAAAUCAGUGUGCAGACUUAAUGGCAAAGCUUAGAGCUUCUUCUGAUAUUGAUCUUCCUCUUCACGAGUUUUCCCCUGUUGGUCUUGUUAAUCUCGUCGGAAGCGAUGCCGCUUGCAUUUUGUUCCUCAGGGAAUAGUUAGUUUUUUCUUUGCCUUUGUCAUUGUAAAAAAAAAAAAAAAAAAAAACUAGCAUUGUGGUCCCAACUCCAAACAACAAAGUCAAACAAUAUAAUAUAGGUUGGAAAACAAGGCCGACAAUGCAUCAAACUAUACUAUUCUGUCACGGGACGGCUAUCUGGUUGAAGAAGACAUUCUUCAUAUCAGGCUAUCACACUAGCCACUUGAAUUUAUAUUAAUUAAUUAAUUAAAUUCUCAAACAAUUUUUGCUACAAGUGUAAUUAAAAUCAGACAAUACUACGAUUUUUAGGAAACCAAUUAUGCAUGCAAAGUCUGUUAUAGAGACCAAGCCAAGCCACACCCGUUUCAAAAAUAAGCUGCACUUGGCAAGUUCGUCUCAAAUGUUUGAAGCAACUUCCAAACAUUCAUGAUUUCAAUUCAAGUAUUAAACCAUAUUUGGUUUGUCCAUAUUCACGGCGUAUAUAUAACUUGUGAAGUGUAACAUCAAAACACAAAAAAAAAAAAAAAAAGGCUUAUGGGUUGUGGCAAUCUGAUAAAAACAGAUACGUUUCGUACUAAGCAAUUCCCUUUUAAAUUAAGCAGCUAUACGUUACAGCAAACUUACCACAUAGCCAUAUGAUACAAGAAAGAGUGGACUAAGCCAAAAUAAUUACACACUAUGUAUCACUAGAACACGGCAUUGAUGCAAACUUCAUACUUGUCUUCAUCCUAUAGCUAGCCAAAUGCAGAAAGUUUUGUAUUAUUCAGUCACACUCAGACUUGUCUUUAUUCCUCUUUUGAUCAAAUCAUAUAUUACUUCGCUACAAUCCAUAAUAACACUCCACAUUUAUUACAAAUAUGUGACUAAUUAUCUAAAAGCAUAUUAUUUAUAUCCAUAAAAAAUGAAGAACGAGUAGAAUGUCUGAAGUGUUGAUCUGGGAGCUGUUCUGCCACCAACAAGUAGAAAAGUCCCAUUACUCCAGUGUGCUCCUUGGUGCUGCUGUAGUUAGACACUAGAGUUAAAGUUUCACCAUCAACUAUCUUGACAGAACCUGGUUUAGGAUAACAUGUGGACAUUCCUACAAUGUAGCCUGUCUCAUUCCCAGCUUCAUUUCCAUUUCCGUAACUUGGUAUAGAGGAACAUAUAACUCUGCCAUCCUGAAAACAUGAUCCACAUAUUUCGCAAAACAAGCUAUUAAUCUAUUAUACCAUAUUUAACUUCUUAAACAAGCUACUAUACACCUUUUUCUUGUUAAUAAAAGCAUUUGUUAGCCUCAAUUGAAAACUAUCACAUGAUCAAAUAGAAGUGAUUAUAUUUAAUCACAAAUGUGUCUCGGGUCCAACAUGUGUCAGACACUCGAACACAUCUUUAAUCUUAAGUGUCGGUGCUAUACAUGAUGUAAAUCGGGAGUCUCUCUUAAGGAGCAGAAUCGUUAUCGAUUAGAUCCUUCAAUGAUUUCUUUUUUCAAUAAACUUAUGCCACUAAAAAGUGAUAUCUAUUCAAAUCAAAAUAUUUUUGAGUAUUACUGUAAGUUGUAACUUGUCGCUAACUGUUGCAAUUGAAAAUUGUAAAUUACCUGCCCGUAUAGAGUUGAUCCAAUUCCACCUGAAUGCUGAUGAGCAACACCAUAGAUCACAUAGCCACCAGUUUGUAGUGGGAGACUUGUCCUCUUCACAUCAACACAACCAUUUCUUUCUUUAUGGUCUGUGCCGCAAGAUUCAACUUGAUACUCAGUCUGAAACAAAUAAAUUCAUGUUGCUCACUAUAUACCCAACAAAGUAAUGGACUAGUUUUAUGUUUUAGAGUUAAAUUGAGUUGACAAAAACUACAAGUAAGGAUUCUCUGCAGUCUACAGACUUUACAUACACGCAAUAAGCACAUUAAUGACUGUUGGAUCAAGAUUGAAGGGUCUAGGGAUUCCAAACCCAGUGUCAUUGAUUUUAAAAUAAUCAAAAGCUAAAUAUUCUGUGAACUUUUUGAUCUUGAUCCAUCAUCAACCGAUGAUUUGUCUGCGUGAAUCUAGGGUAGCCCAACUACACGGAAUCUAUUUCUAAAAACUAAUGUUUCUUAAUGAAUUCAUUUACCUUGCAAUCAUGGUUUGAGUUCAAUCCUUUUGAAUCAUCUGAUGGUUUCAAAGUAUCAGUAACAUCAAGUAUAUAUAUCUUAACAGGCACUAUAAAAUCAUCCCAAUCAACCCAUUUUACAGUGUAUCUUAGGUAGAGACUUCUCUUUGGACCCUCAAAACCUUCCUUCAACUUGCAUUGUGUAUGGUCAUAACAACAUAACAAACCUCCUUUAUAAUCUGGCCCAAUAGACCUUCCAUAUUCAUCCACUGUAACAUUAUAAAGGUCGCACUUGCACUCAGUGCACCCUAAUUUAUCCUCUGCGCCUCGCGUAUCAAUGGCAUGAACAUUAAGCAACCAUUUAUCCUCAAACCCUUGUGGAAUCUCUUCAGGAUUACCUAUCUCUAUACCGAAAGGAUCUGGAAUAUCUGUUGUCGUUCCUCGUGUUUCUGACCCAAGUCCAAAGUAUUGUGAAAUAGCAUUUCCCUGGCAUAUGCCACUGUUCCUUACAAGAACAUGAUCAGAGUUUUGAAGCAUCAUGUGGCUAACAUCUUCUGUGUGUGUGACAUAUUUUCUUUGAUAAUGUCUUUGAACAAGCCAAUGAUGGAGAUAGGUUUCAUGGAGAGGUAUAGGAUUACCAGCAUCAUCAACUACUUCAGCAUUGAAACUCUUUAGUGCUAUAUGCCCUCUUGGAAAAUCAAUAUCAUAAUAAUGUUUAUUGAUAACUGAUCCAGGUCCAAGUUCAAACUUAGGGGACAGAAAAACAGCUGAUUUGAUUUUAUCUUCGGCCUUCACAAAGGAACUUGAGCAUGUUGUACCAAACAAUAGUAGAAGUAUUGCCUCUAAAAAUACAAAAUCUCUAGAUACAAAACACAUGCUGAUCUGUCAUGGAGUUUUUUUAUUAGUAAUUCAUAAUUAUUGAUUAAAACAAAACAAAACAUCUUUCCUUUAAAAUAUUAUUAACUACAGUACAAAGUAAACGAGGUCGUGGAUUAAUACUUAAAAAAUAUUUAAAAAUCUUUUUUUUUUUUUUUUUGUGGCCGGGUUUCGAACUCCAUAUCUUGUAUAUUUUAUGUAUUGUCAAUAUCAAUUGAUCUAAACUCACGAGGACAAAUAUUUAAAAAUCUAACGACGAAAUAUGUCGUUUUUUUUUAUUUUUUUAUUUUUUUAUAGUAAAUGUUAAUAAUCUUCAUCAUUUUUAUAAUUGAAAUAAUAUUUCUUUUUAGUAAGUAACAUAAUUGCUAGACUUACACACUAACGGUGUAGAGAAGUGGAAAAUCUUUAGUUUAAACCUUUGCCCCUGUAGUUAAAUGUUCUUAGAACUAUCAAUUAAGCUGCAUUUAUAAGAUUGAAAUAAUAAUUUAACUGAUAUUCAUUUUAUUUAAAACAACGAAAAAUAAAUAUUUAACUUGUAUUCAACCAACAUUAAUCAAGUCACUGUUUUAGCCGUAAAUAAGACAAAUGUCACAAAUUUUUAUUUCUAAAUAGUGUUGUUAAUAAUCGUUAAUAUUUCAGAUAAUCUUAAGCAUCGGUUCAUGAUAUAAAGAAAAAUUUGUCCAUAAAAUUUCCGUGAGCUUAGAUCAGUUGGUAGGGAUAUUGCAUGUUAUAUGUAGGGGCCGGGGUUCGAACUCCGAACACCCCAUUUCUACACAUUUAAUUGUGUGAGCUCUAUCCACUAGGCUACUUGACAUAAAGAAAAAUUUGUCCAUAAAAACACUCGACUGACAUAAACUAAUGAUCAAAACACUAGUAUUUUUUUAUUACUCCCUCUCACCAUUUAUAUGACAUCUUUUCCAUUUCUUUUUAAAAAUAUUUCCACUAUUUCUUUGUCAUGUAAUUUAAGACUUUUUAAAAAAAAUAUUAAGAAUUUUUUUUGAGAAAGGGGAAUCUAUUAUUAAUAAGUGGCACUAAAAUAUUUUUUUAAUGGCAAAAUAUAUUACUCUCUCCCUUUUAUAUCUUAAACACCAUUUUAUUAGAGCUAAAGGUUGCUUACAUAUAAGGGGAUUAAAUCCCAAGUAUUACACCAAAAAGAGAAAAAUAAAAACACCAAAAAAAACUCCAAAGAAAAACAAUCAGCACCCUUAAAAUGUCGGAUCACCUAACAAUAGCUCCUAAAAAACCAACACCACCGACAAUGGACAAUUAAGCAACCGAUAAUGAUUUUGCACUAAAGUAUUUUUACAAUUGUCUUCGAGAAGACUCAAAUUAAUACCUUAAAAUCAUGUACAAUAUCAAACUUUUACCACUAAACUAGCACAUCGAAGUAUUUUUUCACAAAAUUUCAUGUGCAUUGAUAAUUUUUUUUUAUAGAAAUGCUCCCUUUUAAUUUACCAAUAAAAAAAUAGAUACAUAUUGUCUUUUAUGAUAUUAAUAGUUUAUAGGGAAAAAUAUGUAACACGACACACAUUUCAGUCAAACUUACUACUCCAUAUAUAAUUUUUCUUAGGCUUAAAUGCACUUUUGACCCCCUAUGUUUGCUAUGGUAGAAAUUUUAGCCUCCUAUUAAAAAAAAAAAAAAAAUUCAGCCCCCUAACUUCAUCUGCUUUUGCAACCCAUAAGCCCCCUCUGAUUUUGACUUGGUCAAAGGUUACUGUGUAAUUUAAAAUAAAAAUAACAAAAAAAAGAAAUUAAAAAUAAUUAAUAGCCUUAGGAUUAAAAAUCGGUGAUCAAGAUUUAAAGAACUCACAUGCUCCCUCUCUUAACUAAUUUUCCCUUCUCCACUCAUUACUACUUCAUGUUCUCCUUCUGAACAACACAAACCCACCCAGAAAAGUCAAGCUCGAUCAGUCUCCAUAUCAUCAACACAUAACCAGAAACUAGAAAACUCCAUCACCUUCAUAUCCAUCGACACAAAACCAAAAAACCUAGAACAAGGACAAGAACAUCAUCUUCAUAACUCAUCACCCCAAAAAAAUCAAACCCUUCGAUUCUAAAUUCAAAUUCAUCAACUAAUCAAACCCAAAAAAACUCAAAGGUGCGAAUAAAUACUCAUGGUGAGUGGCUUGUGGUAAAUCGUAAAAAGAAGAAAACUCCACCAAUUACAGUGAAGAAAAAAUAGAUGGGACAAUUAAUUAGAAACUCAAAAAACUUGGGUGCAUUCAAGUUGCAAUUAAAGGAGGAAUUAAGUCAAAUGAUAAUUAUGAAGAAGGAAGGGAUAAGGCGCAAAUCAUGUCCGAUGGAGGAAGUGAGAAACCACAAAAAACGUGGUGAUGUGGAACCACAAUAGCAGAAUUUUAUGGAACACCGCGCCGGUGUUCUCAACCUUCCAUUAUUUUUUGUUUGAAAUUGAUUUUUCUAAUCUAGAUCUGGAUGAAAAAUAGAGGAAGAAAGAGAAGCGAUUGAAGAGGUGACGGUGGCCGUGUUUUACAUAAAGGGUGACCCUUUAGUGAAGGGAAGUGGCGGUGGAUAGUCAUGGUGGUGGUGGAAUUUCUCUAUGAAGAUGAUGUGAGAACAAGAGAAUAGAAGAAGAAAUGGGGUUUAUUAGAAAGAAGGGACACAAUAACACUUACAUUGAAUCUUUUAAUGUUGACCAUUGAUUUAAUCCUAAGGCUAUUAAUUAUUCUUAUCAUUCUUUUUCAUUUAAAUUUAAUUUAGUAAUAGCCUUUGAUCAGGUCAAAAUUAGAGGGGGUCAAAGAAGGGUGAAGUUAGGGGGCUGAAAAGUGAUUUUUUUAAUAGGGGACCAAAAUUGUUACCAUGACAAAUAUAGGGGCCAAAAAUGCAUUUAAACCUUUUUGUUAAUAUUCAUAAUUUUAUGUAGAGGUUCCUGCUUCCUAUGAUAAGGGACGAAUGAAGUAUAGACAAAGCCAUGAAUAACAUUAGACGCUGAUUAGAGAAACGUGAGUGAAAAAGGGUGGAGUAUAGUGCAGGUAUAUUGAAGAACAAAUAUAUGAAAAACUAAGGGGGGUGUAUUGAAUUGGGAUUUCAAGGGAUUUUAAAAGACUUUUUUAGAAUGAAAAAGUCUAGUGGUAUUCAAUCAAGACUUUUAUAAAAUUUAAACAAAUCUUGUGGUAUUCAAUCAAGACAAUCAUGACUUUUUUUUUAAGGCAACAAAAUCCGUUGGUAUUCAAUUGAGAUUUCUCAUGACUUAUGAAUUGUCCAUUGGUAUUCAAAAGUCUAUAGAUUUUGAUGGAUUCUUGGAUGGAAUGGAUUUUGUGAGACUUUUUAGUUAAAAAUAUCUCUUCCAACAAUCUCACAGAAACCCUUGAGAUUUUGCCAUUGUCUUGCAAACCUUUCUGCCGUCAUCUUCCAUGCCAGUUUUUUCUUUUCUCUAUCAAAUUCUUCAACUUCCAUUUCUUGUGUCUGAUUCUCUUUUUUUUUUUCCAUUACUUUUUUUUUGUUUCAAUUACUUUUUUUUAUCUGUAUACUCUUUUUGUCCAUAUCAAUUACUAUUAUUUGUUUUUGUCUGAUUCUUGCCAAUGCAAUUUUUUUUGUUCGGUUAAUUUUUUUUGUUCAAUACUAUGCUAUGCUAAUCUUCCCCGUCCCCAUCGUCCCUCAGAUUAUUUUUUCAUUGGCAAAUUCGUCAACGCCGAUUGCUUUUUUCCUUCCCACGUUCAACGGUGUCGAUGGAACGCGAUUAACCAAUCGUCCUUACUUUUUUUUUUUUUUUUUUUUUUUUUUAUCAAAUCAAUGUUUUUUACUCAAAAGCAUAAUUAUUUUUAUAGUUUUUGUCUUCUUUUUGUUCGAUUAAUUUUUUUUGUCUGAUUCUUGUCAAUGCAAUUUUUUUUUGUUUGAUACUUGAUUUUUGUUUAUUAUUAUUAUGAGUGUUAAGUUUAUUAUUGGUAUUUUUUUUCUUGUUAUUCCUAUUGAAUAUAUAUAUUGGUAUAUAGUUACUAUACUUUUGGCAAUUAGGAAAAAAAAACUGUUCUUGUGAAAUAACUAGUUUGUUAUAUAUGUAUAUAUUAGUGAUUAAAUGGGGGAUUCACAACAAGAAAAUAAUAGAGGGAAGGGUAAGGACAAAGAUGGCUAUGUAGCUUGGACCAUGGAGGAAACUAGUGAGUUGUUGUACCUUUUGGUGGAUGCUAUAAAUAGAGGGUUACGUGAUGCCAAUGGGUCCCUUAGUAAACAAAAUGUAGAGCGAGCUAUCCUUCCUCAGCUCAAUGCCAAAACUGAAUCACAUAAAACUUAUAAUCAUUACUUGAGCCGAAUGAAGUGGUUUAGAAAUCAAUACAACAAGAUGUCAACGUUUAUGCGUAACAACUCUGGUUUUGGAUGGGAUUCCGUUGCGAAGACUUACACGGCUACUGAAGAAGUAUGGAAUAAUUACUUAAAGGUGAGCUAAGUUCAAAAUCGUUUAAAAGUAUGAUUGAUUUUUAUUUUUUUUUUGUAAUAUUUAUAGUAUAUUAAUAGUGAAUUUUUUUUGUUUUUUAGUCCCAUCCAUCUCACAAAAAUCUUAAAGGAAAAAGUAUGAUUGAUUAUGAUUAUUUGAAGAUUGUUGUUGGAGGUGGAGUGUCUAGCGGAAAUAAUUCUAUAGCAUUAGACCCUGAGGAUACUGAUGCAACAACUUUUGAGCAAGAAAGUGAAAGUUUUGGAAUGGAAGAUUUUUCAUAUGAUCCCAAUAGUGAUACAUUCAUAGCACCAGAUAACUUUUGGUUGUACUUUUGUUAAAGUAUUUGGUUUGCUUUUUUUUUUUUGUUUAACUAAUGGUUGUAUUUGGAUUGAAGAAUUUAGUUCUGUAUGUUUUGUGAGACUAAUGUGGUUAAAAUUUAAUUAUAUUUUCAUUAUAGUAUUUUAUAUAUUACUUUGCAUUGACUCUUACACUACCUUAAAUAUUGUCUUAUAAUCAUGGCAAUGACAUAGAGGACGAAGAAAUUGAUUAUGAAGGAAUGAGUGAAGAUAUAGAUACUGAAGCUAUAGAUGAUGAUGAUGAUGAUGACGAAGAUGAUGAUGAUACAAAUGAUGAAGAAACAGAUGAAGAAUUGUAUGAAGCCAUAUACAUGUAUAUGAUGGCAAUUCAUGCUUUAAUGCACGUGGUAAAUCAGUUUUUGAAUAUGAUGCGUGGUGAACAUGUUGAACGUCCAUUAACUCGACGACGAAUUACAAGUAAGGGAUAUGACUAUAUACAUAAGUCAUUGAAUGGGGAUUCUGAAAUCUUUCGACAAGUAUAUAGAAUGUAUCCUGAUGUAUUCCGAAAGUUAUGCAUGAUUAUAAGAGAAAAAACACCUUUGGUGGAUACAAGAUUUAUUUGUAUUGAAGAAAUGCUUGCGUCGUUCUUACAGAUUGUCGGUCAGAAUACUCGAUAUUGUAUAAUUAGAAAUACAUUUGGCCGAUCACAAUUUGCUGCAAGUGAAAAUUUUCACAAGAUUUUGAAGGCUUUGAACUCAAUAGCACCUGAUUUGAUGGCUAAACCAACCUCAAGCGUGCCUGCAAAAAUAAGGGAAAGCACAAGAUUUUAUCCUUACUUCAAGGUAUGUGAUCAUUAUCUAAUUAUAAGAGAAUUGUAAAUAUAAUCAUCUUUAUUAUAAUAAUAUUUUUUUUAUGGUUAUAUAUGAAUACACUUUUAGGAUUGCAUUGGAGCUAUUGAUGGUACGCAUAUUCCUGCAUUGGUAAGAGGACGAGAUGUAAGCAGUUAUCGUGAUCGUCAUGGAAGGAUAUCACAAAAUGUAUUAGCUGCUUGUAAUUUUGAUUUGGAGUUCAUGUACGUUCUCAGCGGGUGGGAGGGUUCAGCCCAUGAUUCCAAGUUGCUAAAUGAUGCUUUGAAAAGGAAGAAUGGACUAAAAGUGCCCCACGGUAAGUAAUUAAUUUUUAAAAUAUACUGAUGUUGUUUUUCUUUCACUUUCAUACUUAUUUUAUAUGUAUUUUAAAUUUAAUUAGGUAAAUAUUUUCUGGUGGAUUGCGGAUUUGCUAAUCGACGCAAAUUUUUAGCUCCACAUCGAGGUGUGCGAUAUCAUCUACAAGAUUUUGCAGGUCACGGUAAUGACCCUGAAAAUGAAAAAGAGUUAUUCAAUCUUCGGCAUGCGUCUUUAAGGAAUGUGGUUGAGAGAAUAUUUGGUAUUUUUAAAUCGCGUUUCACAAUUUUUAAGUCAGCACCUCCAUUUUUGUUUAAGACACAAGCAGAACUUGUGUUGGCAUGUGCAGCACUUCAUAACUUUCUUCGCAAAGAAUGUCGUUCCGAUGAAUUUCCAAUUGAACCUUCUAACGAGUCUUCAUCUUCAUCUUCAAUGUUACCUAUUCAUGAAGACAAUAAUGAUGAACUCAAUGUUCAAACACAAGAGCAAGAACGAGAAGAUGCUAAUAUAUGGAGGACUAAUUUAGGUUUAGAUAUGUGGAGAGAUGUACAAGGAAUACCGUGAUACUACUCUAAACGGUGAUUCAGUGAAUCACAUUUCCCUUUUCAUAUUGGGAGAUGCUAAUAUCUAAAGAUAAUCUUGUUUUAAGAAACUUCAUUACCAGCAAGACAUAUUUUGCUUUUUUCCUAGUUUGUUAUUUACGAAAUAUAUUUUGUUUUAUCUUUUUGUUAUGCAGUUAUUUGUUUUUCUCUUUUUGAUGUACCGGUACAAGCUCGAUUUUGAAUCUAGAGAUCACUUUGUUUCGGAAAAAAAAAAUUAUUUGUUUACUAUUUCUAUCAUUCACGGUUGUAAGUUUGUUCUUUUUCCGCUAAAGUUCAUUGAAUCCUUUGAAAUAUUAAAAUCUCAUAAAAUCCUUUGAAAUCCUUAAAAUUCAGUGUGAUAAAUCCCAUAAAAUCCUUUGAAAUCCUUAAAAGUCAGUUUGAUAAAUCCCUUAAAGUCUUUUAAAAUCUUACAGAAUCAAUACAAUCCCACAAAGUCUUUUAAAAUCUUAAAGACUUUUUUUGUUAAAAAAGUCUUUUAAAAUCCUAAUCCAAUACACCCCCCUAAAGUAAAAAAAUGUAACUUCACACCAAAUUAAAUUGAGAUAUGAGUCAUUUGAAACAAACGUGUAAAGUUGUGAGAAAAAAAAUUAAUGAACACAAAAUUAAGAGAAUAGAACCUGGAUACGACAGAGUUUGAGCUUUGUUUGAUGAGAAAAUUAGAGUGUGGUGUUAAACUAGAUUCACUUAUACUUAUAGAUGAAACAAAUUCAAACUAGAAGAGAAGAUGUAUAGGGCUUGAGUUGCGUAUCUCACAUGAGAAAGUUCUUCACAGUCACACUAGUCAUUAUAUGCACGUUUUCUUCAUAAUUUAUUUUGAAAAUUGUUUUUCUCUAUUUUAAAAUUGUUCAUUUUCUAUAGUUAAUUCCGACAUUUUUCAGCUAGACUAAACUCUCAUUCUAUAAUGAGUAAUUUUUUUUUUGACAAUUUAUUCUUAAUUUUGUUGAAGAGUAUAUAUUCAAUAUUUAACUUGCAAUUGAGUUCUUAUUAAUUUUUAGUUAAUUAAUUUAAUGUUUUGAUUUUUUAAAGUCCACUUCGGCUAGAUGACAAUACUUCCAACUUACAAGUCAUCAAAAUUUCCCAACAAGGUGUAUUAUUUGAGGAAAACAAAUUGAGACUAUGGAAUAAAAAACAAGGUACUUAAGGGGUCAAAAUUGCAUAAUUGAAAAAAUGGUAUAUUUUCAAAUUGAACACUUGAAAAACCUAGAGAGAAAAAAUUGCAUCUAAACCUAAUUUUUUUAAUAGUACACUAAUUAUUUAUAGUGUUUUAUAUUUUAGGCUUAACAAUAAUUUUGUCCCCUAUUUUUACUAAACAUACACUAAAACACUUGAGGUUUUAAGGUGAACAGCAAUCUAGGAUGAGUUUUACACUGUGUUUGAUAGAAGAGAAAUAAGAAAGAGAGAAAGAGGGAAGAGAGAAGUUGGAUAGAGAGAAGCAACUUCUCCUGUUUAGUUGAGAAUAGAGAUUAAAGAGAGAGACCAAAUAUGGUGGAACCCAUGCCUGUUUUAUUUCUUUCUUGAAUUGCGAAGAAAUAGAGUAGAGAUGUGAACUUUUUUUGCUCUUUUCCAAAACUAUCCCUGGUAUUGUGGCUAAUAUAAAACUAUUGUCCUUUUUUUUUUUUGUUAACACUGUUGUAUUGUUUUCAUGGUUUUUGUUGUAGCAAGGUAAAAACAAAAACUAAUACGCAACUCUCUUUCCUUUACCUCUUGAUUGGAAUCCUCUUAUAUUAUAAUAAAUAAAUUAAACUAGUAGUUAGUUAACUCUAAUGAAAUAGUUUAACCGAUUAAAUUGUAAAAUUGUAAAUAAAUAAUUAAUUAAGCAAAUAAGUUAUCAAAUUUCUUUGUAAAAAAAUUACUUAGUUUCUUAAUUAAAUUAAUGUAAAAAAUUAUAAGUUAUCAGUUUUUAUAAGAAUUCAUAUAUAAUAAAAUUGUAUAUUAAAGUUUAGUAAGGAUAUUUUGGUCUUUUCAAAAGUUUAACACACUUCUCUCUUCUCUAUUUCUCUCAUUUAUCUCUUAUACUAAACAAUAGGUCAAAUCUACUCUAUUUCUCACCUAUUUCUCUCUUCCUAUACUCUCUCUUCACAACUUCUCUCUUUAUAACUUCUCUCCUAAACCAAACACACCCUUAAAGUUUGGAGAAGGCUAACAACUUUCACUUAAGGCAUUGUUUAGGGCUUGCUGUUAAGGUAUAUACAAAGUUUACAAAAGUAAGUUUAAUUAAAUAUAGUUUUUCAAAAUUAAGUUUGAUUAAAAUGAGUUUGUUCUCGUGUGCUUUUUCUUUGGAUAAGUAAACCAAGGCAUUUCAAUUAUGUUGCCACUUCUUAUUUACUGUUACCUAUCAUAUGCAUUUGGUAUGUUGCGGUUUACUGCUAUUGAUCAUUCUGUUUGUCAAAAAAUCUAUUUGAUAAACAAUAAUGAAGAGGAUGUAAAAUUAGUUGGCUAGAGCUCAGUUAGUUAACUAGCUGGUAGUUUCAGUUACAAUACUGUCUUGGUUACACUACACUGCCUCUCAAUAGUAGCCAUUACAAGUCCAGGGCUCGCGACAUGAAACACGCCUUGGCAUCGUUGCAAUAGCAUGGUUCAAUCGAGGAUUCUUUAAUUCUCUUGCUCCCAAUAUCAAACAAAGUGCGAUUUACAUUACGAUUACAAUGAAGCAACUACAUAGUAGAACAAACUUAUUGCAUAGCCAUACGAUACAAAAAAGAGUGGAAUAAGUACAAAAUACAAACUAUAUAUCACAAAAAUGGCAUCAAGCUUGUCUUUCUCCUAUAGCUAGCAGAAUACAGAUAGAAGUGUAAUUGAUCAGUUACACUUGUCAAACUUAUUCUUCUUUGAUCAAUCAUAUAUUACUUUGACACCAUCCAUGAAACUCCACUUAUAUUAUCAUAUAUGUAACUAAUUAUCUAAAAGUAUAUUAUUUAUAUCCAUAAAAAAUGAAGAACGAGUAGAAUGUCUGAAGUGUUGGUAUGGGAGCUGUUCUGCCACCAAUAGGUAGAAAAGUCCCAUUACUCCGGUGUGCUCCUUGGUGCUGUUGUAGUUAGACUCUAGAGUUAAAGUUUCACCAUCAAUAAUCUUGACAGAACCUGGUUUAGGAUAACAAGUGGACAUUCCUACAAUGUAUCCCGCUUCAUUUCCUGCUUCGCUUCCAUUUCCAUAACUUGGUAUAGAGGAACAUAUAACCCUUCCAUCCUGAAAACAUAAUCCACAAAUUUCACAAAACAAGCCACUACACAAUGUUUAACUUCUUGAUCAAAAGUAAAAUUGUUAGAAUAGCAACUCCGGUUCAAAAGUAAACAGAUAUGAAAAACACAAAAAGAGAACAUACGAAAUUCGAUAAUGGCGUUCGGUCAAUUAUGUCUACCGUUUAGUUUAACAUAUUACAACUCGUGUAUAAAUACUAAGGUCAAGUUUACAAGAUAGCCCUUGAACCAUACCCGUGUUAAUAAACUCAACAAAAAGAAACAUUGACGGUCCUCAAUAGCUAAUAAAUCAAACUAUUUUCUUGUUAGCUAAACAUUUCUUACUAUCAAUUGAAAACAAUCACGUGCUAAGACUAAAAAAAAAGGUGAUAAUUUAUAGUUUAUUUUUAGAGGAAGAAUCAUUAUUAGAAAAUGAUAUAUCAGUUAUACAAUUGUUCUCGAGGGGGUUUGAACUCUGUCUCUUGAAGUCACAAUGUCAAAAUAUUCCCAUUGAGCCGACACCAAGCAUUUAAGAAUGACUUAAGUUACCUGUCCAUAUAGAGUUGAUCCAAUUCCGCCUGAAUGUUGAUGAGCAGCACCAUAGAUCAUAUAGCCACCAGUUUGAAAUGGGAGACUUGUCCUCUUCACAUGAACACAGGAAUUUCCCUCCUUAUGGUCUGUGCUGCAAGAUUCAACUUGAUACUCAUUCUGAAACAAAGAAAACCAUGUUGCUCACUAUAUACCCAAAGUUUUAUGUUUUAGAGUUAAAUUGAGAUUUACACAAACAAAGUACGUGUAUGGAUUCCCUGCAGUCGAGAGACUCUACAUUCAUACAAUCAGUAACACAAUAACUGUUGGAUCAAGAUUGACGAUAAUAAAUUCCAUGCCUGCAGUAUUUUGGAUUUUAGAACAAUCGAAAUCUGUAUAUUUUGUGAAUUGUCUGAUCCUGAUCCAACAGUACACUGAUGGAUUGAUUGCGUGAAUGCAGGGCAUCCCAACUACACGGAACCCAUUUCGACAAACAUGUUUCGUAAUGAAUGCAUUUACCUUGCAGUCAUGAUCUGAGUUCAUUCCUUUUGAAUUAUCUGAUAGUUUCAAAGUAUCAGUAACAUCAAGUAUAUAUAUCUUAACAGGCACUAUAAAAUCAUCCCAAUCAACCCAUUUAACAGUGUAUCUUAAGUAGAGGCUUCUCUUUGGACCCUCAAAACCUUCCUUCAACUUGCACUGUUUAGAAUCAUAACAACAUAACAAACCUCCUUUAUAAUCUGGCCUAAUAGACCUUCCAUAUUCAUCCACUGUAACAUUAUAAAGCUCACACUUACACUCAGUGCACCCUAAUUUAUCCUUUGUGCCUCGCGUAUCGAUGGCAUGAACAUUAAGCAACCAUUUUUCGUGAAACCCUUCUGGAAUCUCUUCAGGAUUGCCUAUCUCUAUACCGAAAGGAUCCGGAAUAUCGGUCGCCGUUCCACGUGUUUCGGAUCCAAGGCCAAAGUAUUGUCCAAGAGUAUUUCCUUGACAUAUGCCACUGUUCCUUAUAAGCACAUUAUCAGAGUUUUGUGUUGCAUGUUUACUUUGAUGAUAUCUUACAACAAGCCAAUGAUGGAGAUAAGUUUCAUGGAGAGGUACAGGAUUCCCUGAUUCGUCAACUACUUCAGCAUUGAAACUCUUGAGUGCUACAUGACCUCUUGGAAAACCAAUAUCAUAAUAAUAUCCAUUGACAACUGAUCCAGGUCCUAGCUCAAAUUUCGGGGACAAAAAUACAGCUGAUUUUAUCUUAGCUUCAGUCUUCAUAGAAGAACCUGAGCAUUGUAUACAUAACAACAGCAGAAACAUUGCCCAUAAUAAUACCAAAUCUCUAGCUACAAAACUCAUGUUGAUCUGUCAGGGAAGAAAUUAUUAGUUAUUAACUAACUAAUUGUUGAUUAAAGACAUACCAAAACAAGAUAAAUAAGCAUGGUUGGAUCUAACACAAAACUGAUUUGUGGAGUGAGGAGUGUCUCUCUUUAUAAACUCUAUUCGUUAGACGUUAUCUUUAGUCUAUCUAUGUGGGACUUGGUUUUUCCAAAACACUGAGUGACCCGAAUCGAUAUGCUCUGAUUUCAUAUUAGAUUUUUAUAUUAGACUUCAUUCAUCCUUACAAAAUCGGUUUAUGAAGUGGGGUGUAAGUCUUUUAUAAACUACUAAAAUCUAAAUUAAUGUUAUGAAUGAAUACAAUUGUGGUGGUCACAGAACAAUUUUAAAACAUUAAUUAUAACAUAAACUUAUGAGCAGACAACUUUUUAUGAUGAAAGUAAAAAGGUUUACCUGGAUAAAUUUAUAGGGAUAUAACAAGCAAUAGGCAGAAACAACAUGUAAGAGAUUGCGUACCUCAAAAAGUUUGACGAAAACUUAGAGUGUGUGUAGGUCGGUAUCAACAUUCAAAGUAUAUUUAUAGAUUAUUAAUGAAUGAAAGUGUACUAAAGAGCCACCUCAUCACGUGAGAACGUUCAACUAAAUCUGUCCUUUCAAACUUGGAGGAGAAGUAAAGUCCAAACGAGGUAUUUGGAUUAAAUUAUUUGUCUGUUUUGUUAUUUCUUCAAUUGGAUAUGCGUUGGAAAAUCUAUGGUCGACAACUUAAGGCAUUCACCACCUAGUCGACACACUUGUUAUGGUUUGGCUAUAGCCGGCCACUCUAGAAUUUAAAAAAAAGAAAAAUGAGAAAUUUCUUUUUUGACGAUUGAAAUUAGUUGUUAAUAUGUUUAGCGAUUGAAAUUGUGAUUGAUAUUUCAAACAUUAAAGUAUAAGAUAUUAAAAAUUGGUCGCUACUUACUGACAAUGUAUACAUUAUACGGUCUAAAAAUUCAAUUUUGAUAUUUUUAUUCAAAAUAGUCUAUCCUAAAAUUAUAAAUUAUACAAUUUAAUUCCAACAAUCACAAUGAUCGCAAAUUUCUAAAAUUAUUAGAAGGGAGUUUUUUUUUUUUAUUUAUUUAAGGACUAGAAGGGAGUUUAUUUCUAGAGUUUAGAGCAUAUAUGAUAUCGAUUAUUAUGAUAAAAUAUAUGUAUUUUAUAUAGCAUUUCCUCUCAAAUGAAAAAACAGAAGAUACAUCAAGAUCACGAAACUUUAAUUCAUCGUUUAAUCUUAAAAUUUAGUAUUUCUACAAGUAUAUUUAAAACAAAAUUUAGAAGAAGAAACUCUAUUAAAAUUUUAGAUAAUUCAACGAGUUUAAAUUAAAGAAUAAGAAUUUAAAUAUGUUGGGUUCAAAUCUGAACAAAAUAAUAAAUAUUAAUAUAACAACUAAUUAUCAAUACAACCUUAACAAAAUAGAAAUUUUUGAGAGAAACUUUAACAAGUUUUUUUUUUUUUUUUUUGACAAAACUUUAACAAUACGGAUUAAACACGGAAACCAAAUACGGAUAAUUAUAGGUAAAUUUAUAAAUGCCCUAUAAAAUAAUUUGAAACAUCCAAAUACGGAUUAAACACGGAAACCAAAUUCUAUGUAUUAUGUUGUCACUUUUAUAUGCUGGGUCAGCCAUGACGUUUUAGAGCGACAACUACAAGGAGGUAGACAAUUUUGUUAGGAAAUAAAAACAAUAUUUUGAAAAGGACAAUAAAUCGAAUCAUCAACAUUUUCCAGGGUACAAAAAUCAAAUAGAAGUGAGAAAGUCAGAGGCACAAUUGGACCAGAGAUGAAUACUAUUGAAAAACAUCAAAACAUACCAAAAGUAUAACAUAACUUAUUUGAAUAAUAUAUCUGUCAAAAGUUCUUUUCAACUUCUAAUUAUAAAAAGUACUAUAUAAGAUAAUUUGGUGAAUGAAAUCCCUCAAAUGAAAAAUAGAGAACAAAAAAAGUAUGUUUGAAGUCAAACUUAAUUUGUUUUACAUUUUUCAUUUUCAAAGACAAAAACAACUUAUAAUUAAAAAAAAGUGUCACGCUAACUUGUGUUUUCAAGAUUACAUUUCUACUUUAAUUUUUUUUUUUUUUUUUUUGACAAAAUGUUUAAUUUUUUAUCAUGUAUCUUUAAGGUACAAGUUAUGCCUUCCGGCACAAGUUACCAUUUACUUUAAAAUAAAUGUCCUCAAAUACAAGAUGCGAGGAAAAUCUAACAGAUUUAAGCUGACUAAGCAAAAAAACAAAUUACGAAAACAAAGCAUCCCAACGAUUACUACGUUCAUUGUAGCACGCAAUCACUUUAACAAAUUGUGCCAUUCUCCAAUCACACAUACAAGACUCAACCUACAUAAUUAUGCAGAUCACUCUAAUGAGAGACCCUGCACAAAUCCUUUCCCAAAAACUUGCAGCCACACUUAAAUAAUUAAACCUUGCACCAAUUACAUAAAUGAAAGUACAUUAGGUUAUGAAAAAGUACUUCUGUUUUAAAUGCAAUUUGUCUACUUCAAACUACACUUAGAAAAUUCACUUUUUCUAAUCUCAUUAGGAUAUGAAAAUUGCAUAAAUUAUGUUGGCUUAAAUGUACUUUUGGUCACCCAAAUUCACUUUUUUUUUUUUUUUUUCUGAAUUUUUCAUCCUCAUAGCAUUUUUGGAUUUAGGUUUGUGGUCUAUCCAUUAAUGACGUGGUAGAGCUUAUAUGGCCCCAUUAAACAUCCAUACUGAUACCAUAAAAAAAGGACCUAAGCAAAAAUAACCUAAAGCAAUGUAUUGUGGCAAAAUUGGUUACUGUUGACGUAUGUUUUCGUAAGCAUAGCUUUCCCUUUCAAGCCAAAUGGAGCUUCUUCAUCAGCUCACAAUUAGGACUCUAAUCAGAUACAUUUCAUACUAAAUGGAAGUCCCUUUUGCAUUACAAUUGCAAUGAAGCAGGUACAUGGUAGAACAAACUUCUCACAUUAUCACAUAGCUAGCUGAAUAGAGAGAAGUGUAAGUAUUCGGUUGCCCUUAACAAUUAAUCACUCAUAUUUUACUUUGAUACCAUCAAUGACACGCCAUUUAUAUUAUGAUUUAAGUAACUAAUUAUCUAAAAGUAUAUUAUUUGUCCAUAAAAAAUGAAGAACGAGUAGAAUGUUCUGCCACCAAUAGGUAGAAAAAUCCCAUUACACCAGUGUGUUCUUGGCUAUUGUUGUAGUUAGACUCUAGAGUUAAAGUUUCACCAUCAAUAAUCUUGAUUGAACCUGGUUUAGGAUAACAUGUGGACAUUCCUACAAUGUAUCCCACUUCAUUUCCUGCUUCGCUUCCAUUUCCAUAACUUGGUUUGGAAGAACAUAUAACCCUCCCAUCCUGAAAACAUAAUCCAUCAAUUUCACAAAACAAGUUAUUGAUCUAUUAUACCAUGUUUAACUUCUUAAACAAACCAGUAUACAAUGAAAACAAGCACCGAUAGUCCUCAACUGCUAAUUAUUCACACCAUUUACUUGUUAAUUAAACAUUUGCUAACCUCAAUCGAAAACUAUUACAUGAACAAAUAGAAGGGAUUAUAUAUAAUCACAAAGUAGUGUUGUCUCGGAGUCCGACUAUACAUCUUUAAUCUCAAGUGUCGGUACUUCCAAGUAUUUAAGAAUUAGUAUAAUCUAUCUUUAACUAUUGGAAAUUACCUGUCCAUAUAGGGUGGAUCCAAUUCCACCUGAAUGCUGAUGUGCAACACCAUAGAUCACAUAUCCACCAGUUUGAAAUGGGAGACUUGUCCUCUUCACAUGAACACACCCAUUUUCCUCCCUAUGGUCUGUGCUGCAAGAUUCAACUUGAUACUCAAUCUGAAACAAAGAAAUCCAUGUUGCUCACUAUGAUACCCAACAAUGGGCUAGUGUUACAUUUAAGAGUUAAAUCGAGAUUGAGACAAAUAAAUUACUAAUUUGGAUUCCUAGCAGCCGAGAGACUCUACAUUCACGCAAUCAGCACAGACUGUUGGACCAAAGAUCAGAAGGUCCUAGAUUUCAAGCUCGGUAUUUUGGAUUUUAAUCAAAAUAAUCAAUAUUCGUAUAUUUUGUGAACUGACUGGUCUUGAUCCAACAUUCAUUGAUGCAUUGACUGUGUGUUUCUUGAUGAAUUCAUUUACCUUGCAAUCAUGAUCAAAGUUCGUUCCUUUUGAGUUAUCUGAUUGUUUCAUACUAUCGGUAACAUCAAUUACAUAUAUCUUAAGAGGCACUAUAAAAUCAUCCCAAUCAACCCAUUUAACAGUGUAUCUUAAGUAGAGGCUUCUCUUUGGACCCUCAAAACCUUCCUUCAACUUGCACUGUGUACAAUCAUAACAACAUAACCAACCUCCUUUAUAAUCUGGCCUUAUAGACCUUCCAUAUUCAUCCACCGUAACAUUAUAAAGCUCGCACUUACACUCAGUGCACCCUAACUUAUCCUCUACGCCACGUGUAUCAAUGGCAUGAACAUUAAGCACCCAUUUAUCCUCGGACCCUUCUGAAACCUCUGCAGGAUUACCUAUCUCUAUACCAAAAGGAUCCGGAAUAUCUGUUGCUGUUCCUCGUGUUUCGGAUCCAAUGCCAAAGUAUUGUCCAAGAGUAUUUCCCUGACAUAUGCCACUGUUCCUCACUUUCACAAUAUUAGAACUUUGAAGCAUCCUUUUGCCAUCAUUUCUUGUGUGUGUGACAUGUUUACUUUGAUGAUAUCUUCCAACACCCCAAUGAUGGAGAUAAGUUUCAUGGAGAGGUAUAGGAUUACCAACUUCAUCAACUACUUCAGCAUUGAAACUCUUGAGUGCAAUAUGACCUCUUGGAAAAUCAAUAUCAUAAUAUUCUUUAUUGAUAACUGAUCCAGGUCCUAACUCGAAUUUUGGGGACAAAAAUACAGCUGAUUUUAUUUUAUUUUCAGCAUUCAAAAAAGAACUUAAGCAUGGUGAGCCAAACAAUAGCAGAAGUAUUGCCACUGAAAAAUGAAACUCUCUAGGUACAAACCACAUGUUGAUCUGCCAGAAAAAUAUUUAUUAGUGAUUCACUAAAUGUUGAUUAAAGAAAUAUUAAAUAGAUACAGAUUGCAACAAUUGUAUUAUUUUCAUAAAAUUUUCUGACAAGAUACUUCAAGAGAAGGCAAUCAGAGAUGAGUAUAAUGAUCAACAGGUAAAUCUAGAGGUAGAAAAUAAAUCACAAAGAGACGUUAAAAAAUUUAAUGUUUUGACUGCUGUUUGCAAAGAAUAUUUUUAAAACCUUAAUUAUGACAUAAACUUAUGACCAAACAUGUUUUGACCAAACAUUUUUUCUUUUUUUUUGAAGGAACCAAACAUGUUUUUUAGAAACAUGAAAUUGGCAGCAGGAGCAUGUAAAAGAAAAGAACAUGAAAUUAAGUUGUGUACCUCAGAAAGAUAAUCUGGAAACGACUCUUAAGUUCUUUGAAGUAUGUUGUAGUCUUUGUGGCUUAAGUUCUAUCUUAAGCAUUUCUUUUUUAUUUUUUUGCUAAUCUAUCUUAAGCAUUUCUUGUUCUUAAUAGAUAGUAUUAAUAUAUUUAUUUCUUUGCCUCUUCAAAAAAAGUAUGCUGUCGUUUUUAUGUGCUGGGUCAGCCAUGAUGUAUUACAGCAACAUUUUUUAGUUUAUCUUGGAGGUAGGUAAGUCAAAGUGAGGUUUAUCUAACUUAACCUUGGUUAUAACCGGUUAUGUCAUUUGUCUUAGAGUUUCAGAGUUGAAUUUUUAAGCAAGGACAAAAGUUAUGGUGCAUAAGCCAUUUCCUUCUGCACAGUUCAUAAACACUUCACAACCAUCAGAUUUCUUUUAUUUUGUGUUUGUCAUUUCUCUCUCUACUCUUUUGAAAAACAAAUUUUCUCUCACUCUCUCUAAGAAACUGAUCUGGGAUGAAGUUUCAUCUUCUACACACCUCCGGCCGCCCUAGGGCAGCGGUGGCGCCGCCGGAGUAUUAGGAAAUGGCUCCGAUUUCAAAAAAAAAUUCACUUUUAAAAAUCAUUUUCCUUCUAUAAUCCAACUUCAGACUCGGUUUUCAGAGAUAAACAACCAAACAGUGUAGAUCUAGGUUUUAACUUUGUUCCCAUUCCUUUCGUUUGCGUUCGAUUUCCUUCUUCUUCUGCUCCUUCGCCGCCGCUUUCUUAUAUGCUUUCUUUGCUUCCCAUCUCUGCUGUCUCGCUAGCUACUUCUUCGUGUUCUUGGGGAGUUCUGAAGUGGGUUGUGAUGGUUCUGGGUUUGGAGGUGGAACUGUGGAUUCGGGUUCGUGAUUUUCACCAUAACUGCACGAAUUUCCGCACCCAUGGGCGGGAUUUACUGCUGGAAACCAUUAAGUACAUCUAAUAGUUUUGGAGUACAACUGCCGGAAACCAUUAAGUAGAUCUAAUGGUUUUCCACGGCAAAAUGGUUUUGGCAUUCCGGUACGGUGAUGCUAACAGUGAUGAUGAUGAACGACGGUGUUGAUGAUGAGAUUUAAGAUUCUGGAAACCAUUUCCACAACAAAAUGGGUUUGUAGUACAACUCACAGAAACCAUUUACACAGCAAAAUGGUUUUGGCAUUCCGGUACGGUGAUGAUGAUCAAUGACGGUGUUGAUGAUGAGAUUGAAGAUUCCAGUGGUGAUGAUGAUGAACGACGGUGAUAAUUCAGUUUGUUUUCACGUUUUGUUUGUUUUGUUUUGUUUGGUUUUCUUUGGGGGUGUAGGAAACAAUUAUGUUGGGAUUUAUGCACCAUAACCGAUCUCAUUUUUAAGUGGUGAUGGAAAACGUUAUAUUUAUCUUUUUUUUUUUAAAGAAACAAACUCAAUUCAUUUCAUUAUAAAUCAUGGACCAGAUACAUGACAGUACAUCAUUGUAGAGGUGGGAGCUAGCAUUACAUAUGCUAUCUUUGAUAGUUCAUGAGCGACCCUGUUAGCUUGCCUCUGCCUAAACUUGACAUGAGAAUUUAGAAAAUUGUUUUGAAACAAUUGCUUACAGACAUAUAUAAUACAACCGAACUCAGUGACAUCAUUUAUACAUGUUCUAAAGGAAUCAACAACCUUCUUAGAAUCUAACACAAAGUCUACAUUAUCAAACUGAAGGUUUGCCACCCAAUCAAGUGUCGUACAUAAACUCAUUGCUUCACCCGCAUUGACGUCACAAAGCGGGGAGAACCAGGUACUUUUUGCAAGCAUAAAAUUACCCUCUUCGCCUCUAAGACAUUCCAAGUCCUACCUUAUUAAGCGACGAGGAGAACGAGGCAUCUAUUUUUCAUUUAUACCUUCUAGGGGCCGGUUUUACCCAUUGUUACCAAGCUAUAAGAGUCGGCCCAUGUGGAUCAGAACUAGAGGGAGUUACACUACCUAAACGAAUGACUUGUGCAUGUCUCCAUUCAUCCAUCAACUACUUUGCACGCUCUAUAACCUGCACAUUAGUCUCGUUAGUUUGUUGCCAAAGUUUCAGGUUUCUGUGUUCCCAUAGGCUCCAUAGUAUUGCUGCAAAAUUUUCACUCUGUAUUGGAGUAAGUUGUUGCUACAAAGUAAAAAUAACAGAAUUCAUAUUAUAAUCCUGACGAAGCACACGAUCAAUCUUAUCCCAUAAAUUCACGGCAUGCCAAACUUGCACAGCACUCAAGCAUUCCAAUAAAACAUGAAUGAUGUCCUCGUAAUUAUUUCUACAAAUUACACAUUCGGUUGGACAAGACACACCUCUACUACUACGUUGUGCUCGAGUGGGGAAACGAAACAGCCCAGACACACGCCACAAGAGAUUUUUUAUCUUGGGGGGAGAUUUAAUGUUCCAAAUUAAGUCCCAACGACCAGAUUUAUGCAAAUGAAUAUUGUCAACAAUUUCAUUCAUACAUAUUCUGUAAGCACUGCGAACGAAAUACCUACCAUUUUUUCAGCCUUUCCAAACCAAUUUUUCACAGUCAAAUGGGCAGUAUGUUGAUCAAAUAAGUUAUAAAUUAAAAGAGCAUUUCAUACUCUUUGCUGCUCUCUUUCACAUCGUUCACAUUCAAUGGGAAACAUGGUUACUUAUCUAAACAUUUCUCUCUCAAGUUUACUUUACUAUUAUGGUUUUUUGGGAGUUUCUUCGCUGCUCUCUUUCACAAUGCCUCCAGUUCUUCUUCUUUCACUAAUUUUUUCCUUCCCACAGUUGUUACAUGGUAGAACAGACUUCUAGCAUAGCCAUAUGAAACAAUAUAGUGGAUUCAGCCAAAAUUACAAAUUUGUUUUUCUCCUAUAGCUAGCUGAAUACACAGAAAUGUAAAUUAUUCAGUUACCCUUUUCAAUCAUCAUGUCUUUAUUCAUCUUUGAUAAAUCAAUCAUAUUUUACUUUGAUACCAUCAAUGACACGCUAUUUAUAUUAUCAUAUGUGUAACUAAUUAUCUGAAAACUUUACAUCCACUACAAAAGAAGAACGAGAAGUAAGUCUAAGUUGUUGGUAUGGGAGUUGUUCUGCCACCAAUAGGUAGAAAAGUCCCAUUACUCCAGUGUGCUCCCUGGUGCUGUUGUAGUUAGACUCUAGGGUUAAAGUUUCACCAUCAAUAAUCUUGACAGAACCUGGUUUAGGAUAACAUGUGGACAUUCCUACAAUAUAGGUUGCCUCAUUUCCUGCUUCAUUUCCGGUUCCAUAACUUGGUAUAGAAGAACAUAUAACCCUCCCAUCCUGAAAACAUAAUCCACAAAUAUCACAAAACUAGUAAAUGUAAAAAAUACAGUGGUUACUUCUUGAUCAAAAGUAUAAGAAACACUGAUAGUACUAAAUUGCAAAUAUAUGAUGCUAUUCUCUUCUUUGUUAAACAUUUUCUACCCUUGAUUGAAAACUAUUACAUGAACAAAUAGAGGUGAUUAUAUAUGAUAAAAAAUGUCAAUAUUGUCUCGGUGUCCGACACUACGACACAUCUUUAAUCUCAAGUAUCAAUGCUAUAUUAGGUGUAAAUAUAGAAUCCCUCUUAAGGGGCAGAAUCAUGAUUGAUUAUACCCUUCCAGAUUGUAGUGGGAGACUUGUCCUUUUCACAUGAACACACCCAUUUCCCUCCUAUUGAUCUGUGCUGCAAGAUUCAACUGAUACUCAACCUGAAACAAAGAAAUCUACGUUGCUCGCAAUAUACCUAACAAACUACUGGACUAGUGUUAUAUAUGUUUUAAGAGUUAAACUAAGAUUGAGAAAAACAAACAAUGAGCAUGGAUUCCCUGCAGUCGUGAAACUCUACAUUCAGGCAAUCAUCGCAACAAUCACUGAUUAAUUGACUAACUAAAUGCUGAGUAUAUUCUACUACACGGAAUCUAUUUCCACAAACUAAAUGUUUCUUGAUGAAUGCAUUUACCUUGCAAUCAUGAUCUGAUUUCAUUCCUUUUGAAUCAUCUGAUAGUUUCAAACUACCAGUGACAUCAAUUAUAUAUAUCUUAACGGGCACUAUAAAAUCAUCCCAAUCAACCCACUUUACUGUGCAUCUUAAGUAAAGGCUUCUCUUAGGUCCUUCGAAACCUUCCUUCAACUUGCACCGUGUAGAAUCAUAACAACAUAACAAACCUCCUUUAUAAUCUGGCCUAAUAGAUUUUCCAUACUCAUCCACUGUAACAUUAUAAAGGUCACACUUACAUUCAGUGCACCCUAAUUUAUCCUCUGUGCCACGCGUAUCGAUGGCAUGAACAUUAAGCAACCAUUUCUCCUCAAACCCUUCUGGAAUCUCUUCAGGACUACCUGUCUCUAUACCAAAAGGAUCUGGAAUAUCUGUUGUCGUUCCUCGUGUUUCUGAUCCAAGGCCAAAGUAUUGUGGAAUGGUAUUUCCCUGGCAUAUGCCACUGUUCCUUACAAGAACAUGAUCAUAGUUUUGAAGCAUCAUGUGGCUACCAUCUUCUGUGUGUGUGACAUAUUUUCUUUGAUAAUGUCAUUCAACAAGCCAAUGAUGGAGAUAGGUUUCAUGGAGGGGUAUAGGAUUACCAUCUUCAUCAACAACUUCAGCAUUGAAACUCUUGAGUGCUAUAUGAUCACUUGGAAAAUCAAUAUAAUAAUAAAAUCUAUUGAUAACUGAUCCAGGUCCAAGUUCAAACUUAGGGGACAGAAAAACAGCUGAUUUUAUUUUAUUUUCAGUCUUCUCAAAAGAACUUAAGCAUGGUGUGCCAAACAAUAAUAGAAGUAUUGCUACUGACAAUUCAAAAUCUCUAGGUACAAACCACAUGUUGAUGAUCUGCCAGAAAAAUAUUUACAAGUAAUUAACUAAUUUUUUAUUAAAGAAAUAUUAAACAGAUGCAGAAUCAAGCUUUCAUUAAACAAGGAAGACAAUGUUUGCAAAUUGCACAUGCACAACAAUAUUAAAAAAGGCAAGAUAAACUACACAAAUAUGCAUGAAAAAACAUAGUUUGAACACAAUCAAUACGGAGCAAAAGCAUGCAGAAGAGAAGAUGGAAUGGCUUGAGUUGCGUUCCUCAGAAAGAUAGUUUGGAAAUGGCAGAGUUGAGCUUUGUUUGACGAGAAAACUAGCUACUAUUCGAAGUAUUUUU
This 34857-nucleotide long non-coding RNA is filed under the name Medicago truncatula (barrel medic). RNAcentral's name for it is "long non-coding RNA (MTRU_LNC002246)". The stretch from base 3626 to 3724 matches the Rfam family "MIR2587 microRNA precursor family". The record is from RNAcentral. Lineage: Eukaryota; Viridiplantae; Streptophyta; Magnoliopsida; Fabales; Fabaceae.